RNAcentral lists this long non-coding RNA (17166 nucleotides) under Trifolium pratense (red clover). RNAcentral's name for it is "long non-coding RNA (TPRA_LNC001267)". The record is from RNAcentral. Lineage: Eukaryota; Viridiplantae; Streptophyta; Magnoliopsida; Fabales; Fabaceae.
UGAAAAAAAGUGAAUGUGUUACAUUCAUAAUGAAACCCAAAUAUUGUAGAUAGUAUAUCAAGAAACAAUUAACUAUCAUUAAGCAGCACUAUGCGUAUUUUCUCUCUAAAUUACACUGCUUACAAUUGAAGAGUUUAGAAAAACAAAAAUUACUUCGAAAUAAAACAACAAUCUUUCUAUUAUACUACCAAAUUCGCGAUAUAAUUCGCAUUGGGAGUGACAAGCAUAAAUUGCUAUUUUACUCCUCAUGCAAAGCCUUCAUCAACUGGACCUUGUGAAAGCUUUGACUUGCAACCCUGCAGAAUACCAAGAGAACAAUGCAACACUAUUAAGCACUUUUGGCUAGAGAAAAACUAUACAAGUAAUAAGGGUAAUAAUAGCAGAAACUUCUAAUAGGCAAUUAAGAGUAUCAUUUGCUUCUCAUAGUAGGGGGAAAAAAAAGANNNNNNNNNUGGCUUGAAAAUGGGGUUUGCAGGAUCUUCCUCGGGUAAAGGCUCCUCCCCAGCAGCUCUGCGUGUCGCGUUCUCCGACCUAUAAUAACAAAAACCAAAACCAUGAUAGACUGAACUAAUUGAGGACGAGGAUUAAAUAACUAUUGCAACCCUCAAUGUCACAUUUGCUUAUAUAUAACAUAAAAAUCCACACAGCAAAUAUUGUGAAAAUCCAAAUUCACUGGAUUAACUUAAUCUUCAGUUGAAACUUCAAACAACUAUUAUGCUAUAAACUUAACACUCAUUUCUCAUUUAUUGAAUAUGAAAAAACUAAUCGUAUAGCAACAUUUAGCGGCCACCCCAAAAAACCUAUAACAGGAUGACAGCUACUCUGAUACAUUUAUAACCGUUGGAAGAUAAAUGACAAAAAGAAUAGAAUACACAAAACUAAAAAAAACACAGAAUUAGAGUAAAUUAGAGGUAAGAAAUCAGAGUCAAAAGCUACAAAACACUAGAAUACAAAAGAGAAAAGAAUCACAACUUCAUGAAAAAGAAAAGCGAGAAAACAGAGCACUUGACUGGAGUUGAUGAAUAGAGUUUGUUUGCCGGAAAACACCUUGGAGGUGAUUCUAACAUCUUCAGAGGGCAAUGGGUCAGAUGGGGUCAUGCAAAGGUAGGCUUCUGUUCAGAAGUGAUAAAAGCAUGGGUUUCCGACUUUAAAGCUCUUUUCCACCCGGAAAUCCUAACAUAUGUCAAACCCACAACUUUAACAUUCAAGAGUUUAAGGGCAUUUGAGGUACUUAGUCGAUUCCACCAUUGUGAUCCAAAAGUGUGCGACAAACCGUAAUUACUGGCACAUAGUGAUGUGACGGGGCCUAGAUAAGCCACGUUCACAACACAGUGACAAUGGCAUCACUAUUGCUUGCUAUUCACAACUCUGGACAUGACACACAACAGACGUGUAAAACAUACCCUAACAUAUUCCUCAAUAAAAUUCAAUUGCACCAACAUUGAUGGCACUAUCAAGCCCUGACCAUGGGAACAUGUCCUCUUGAAUCUCAAUAUCCUUCAUUUAAUUUGAAACAAUACAAAAGACAGGUAAUUUUUCAUGUAAAUAUUGAUCGUUUACGUUCGGUCCAAAUAUAUCUAGCAUACUCCUGAUAUAGUAACUUCAUUUACUCAAUAGUAUGGAUAAUAGAGGUCCCAAAAAUGGAAUUACAAUCCCUCCACAAAUGUCACCACAAACUUUUGAUGACAAAUGGUUAAAUUGAUAACCGUAUUGAAUUUAUAAUGAUUAAAAAACGUAAUUGUGGAACAAAAAGAGGACAUAGUGUGAUGGCGCAGUGGGGAUGGAAUUGCAAUCCACAGACCACGAGUCCAUCAGAUUGAAUCAUCCACCAAGAGAUAUCAAAUGCAUAACCCAACUGGUUUAGUAUUUCGUCACACGCAUUUAACUUAAAUUUCCCCAGUCUACCCAGUGGUCACAAUGACUAUAAAAUAAUGACUCUAAUUUGUAAACUGAAUUCACUCGAAUAUCCUAAAUCAUAUUUUCAAAUCAGUCACAGAAGAAUAAAUGUCGACAUAUGGAAUCUAACCUUACAAUAAAAAGAUCAAUGAAUUUACAACGUGGUUGUUAGAACAAACAAUAGUUCAAGUACAGACAAAACCAUACCUUCUCUUCUGAAGCCAUGCUUGCUGCUGAGCCUGCUGACGAGACAAGCUACGAUAGUGGUAUUGGAGCUGAAAUAGAGAAAACUUCGGUAAAAAUGUAUUCGAGAAUACAAUUUACAUAUUACUCAUCCAUGCAUUCAUGAAAACCUAAAAUUACCUUUUGUUGUUCUACUGACAAGUCAUCCAUGCAUUCAAUCAAAAAUUCCAUAUUUCUCUCCAUUAGAGAACUGGAUGACAGUUGCAGACGAUCAUAAUCACACUGCAAUAGCACAAUAGCAUAUGAAAACAAUCUAAAUUGAGAACAGCCAAAAGAAUCUCGGGCAAAUAUCGUAGCUUACCUGGGUUACUGGAGUCUCAGGUUCCAGCUCUGUCAUAAAAGCACUGAUAAGGGAAGAAUUUGAAACUUUGAUCUGAUUCAUAAACAAACAAAAAAAUGAUAAGCAAAUUCAGCAUUAAAUAGCAAGUGGCCUAGAUUAUGAAGUCUUGCACAAUUCAUUUUUAAUUAAUGCAUUUACAAAAGUGACCACGAUUCUUCAUAUUCCAAUCCACCAUGAUGAAUGUGUUUUUCUAUCAUUUCAUAUUUUCAUCGCCUAAUUAAGAUUAUUUAGUAAUGCAUUACAUGCACAUUCUAUAUUUAAACAAAUAAAUAAAAUAAUUUAUUAGUAGAAAGAUCAUUUGGUCAAAUACUCAAAGGUUACAGCAAAGUUCAAGAAAGCUUACAGGUAUUUCCUCGAAGAUAUUCACCCAUGAUAAGUUAUUCUCUCUCAAUCUAUUUCAUAAGAUAAGACAGAUAGUUAGGAUUAGAAAGCAAUUGGUUCAACUUCAAGAAGAAAACAUUACAUCAACAAGAAAAUUCAUACUUCUCGCCAGUAAAAUUAUUGCUGCGGUACAGUUCCAUGAAUGAGUCUGAGAGCUUCAAGGCCUUCAGAGCUAGGACACCUUGAUCAGCCCUUGACGGGUCAUAUAUUAUGCAAACACAGCGUCUAAUAUUCUCCUGAAAAACAAAUAAUUUUUAAACAAAGUCAUUUAUCUGAUUAUGAAAUUGUUAAAAGAUUAUUUCAGCAACUGCAUCCAAUAUGGAAAAUCACCACCACCACUCAUUAAUGAUAAACUUUUGAGAAACAGAAAACCUAGACUAUGGAAGCAGCAUGCAAUCCUUAUAAUCUGGUUAGUCUGCAAAAAAUUGUACUUUUGUUCAUUUAACCAUCUAUUCUAGUCAACUUCCUACAUUUCUGCCUCAGACCAAUGCAAGUAAAAUUCUCAGUUGAUUAAUCUGCAAAUUUCAUCUAAAGAUCAAAUGCAAACAUCUGGAUGUCAAAGAAUGACACACUGCCUCUAUAAUCUUAUAAAGUACCCAAUAGAAUGUUAUAAUCUUCUGUGGUGCAUAUCACACAUUUUUUUGCCUGUUGGGCAUUCUAAAAUUAUAGUUCCACAGAAUAUUAUGUAGUUUUCCGCAAUAAGCUCUCACUAGUGGCUCAUCUGACCAACAUUGAAUAGCUUGGAGGACCAUGAAAAAGAAUAACUUCAGCCCAUUCAUAAAAAAUAGUAAACUAGAGGAGCAUUUAGUUUCCACAAUAACAUAUAACUUUAUAAGUAAGUCCACAAAAUGCCGGCUUAAAAGAAAAUAUGAAAAAAUAAAUUUAGAGCCAAUACCUGGUAAUUCAUAAAGGUUUCAAUCAGCUCCGCAGUUUGAUAGGAGCCAAGCAAUGUAGACUGGUACCUAGAUUCAGAGAAUUAUCCCUCGAGUAAGAUAUAUGAUUACAAAUAACACAUUGAACCAAAUUCAAUCGCGUAUAUCAAACCACCGAAAUAAGAAACAUUCAUGCAUAUAUAAAGUGGUACUUUAAUCAUACAUACCAUCCAACGGUAUUAUUGUCCACAUUAACUUCCCUCAAGCACCUCAUCAUUUCAAGCUGGUAAUUGGCACCAUCAGCUUCGAUUUCCUCAUCCUCCUCCCUCAUCUGCAAAUUUCAGAAACAGAUAUUACUAUAAAUUAAGAUGUCAAUGUUAGAUAAUUUGAAAAUGGGGAAACAAAAGAAAAAAAAAACAACAAAAAAGUGAUAUCAUACCGGAAAAGGGAAGCAGUUAGUAACUUCAAGAUCCUGCCCAACAUCCAACCCAAGAAGUUGUCCAGUGACUAAAGAAGGUGAAUGGUCCUUACAAUGCUUAAUUAUCUUCAGGAUAACCUGUUAAACCAAAAGAUAACACCAUCAAGACCAGAAAGGUUUGAGUAUUAUCUUCACCACACAAAAACUAAUUGAUGAAUUCCUUACAAUAUGAGAACCUGCCUUAAAUAAUUUACAAACCUACAUGACAUGGUCCAAUAUUUACCAGGAAAGAGAUACAUAAACACCAAAAAUAUUGUUUAAAUUUCAGCUAUAUCCUAUUUAGUACCAACAUUGUCAAGUAGCAACUAUAACAUCACUAAAGCACUAUUGCAUAGCAAAAUUUGAACAAGUCAUCAUUAGCCUGUGAUAUCCUACUAAGUAUAAAGUGUUAUCAGAUAGUGGCUAUUGCAAAAUUUAAAGAAACCACUGUUUUCCGCUAUCACAACACUAUUUAGUACAAAUGAUGUCAAAUAGCAGCUAUUGAGGUGCUAUAGCACUGCUCUGCAUCAGAAUUUGAACAUACGUGUGAUCGACGAUUGACAACACUAACAAUGUUAAAUGUUACUUAAGUAUUGCAAUUCACAAAAUCAUACAUCAUUUGUGAAAAUAAAGAUUCCAUAAACAUGUGAAGUUACAAAACAACACAAGUAUAUAUUACCCAGAUGCAAAAACCAACAGAGACCCAUAAUUAUAAAUAAUGUAACCUUUCAAAACCCCAAAUAAAGGCACCUUUUUGGAGAUUUAAAAAUAUUUUAUUAUAGUGCAGUGCAUCAUUAUAAAUUGAACAAUUAUAGAGUAAAAAGAGUAGAAUUGAUACCAAUCCUUCCAUCUGGACUUUUCUAAGAGGAGUUGCAACCUCUUCCGUUGCAACAGCUUGAAGAAAAGACCUAGUUGCAGCUGCAGAAGAAGAAUCAACAAUUGAGUCAUAUGAGUGAAGAAAAUUAAUCAGAAAAAAAUGAAGAAAACGAAAAAAUGGAGAUUGUUGUGAGAUUACUUGUGGUAGCCAUGAUUUGAAUCUGAAUUGUAGCUACACAACCACCGCGAAAAUCGAUAGGGGAUGAGGGAAAUUGUGCAGAAAUUUGCAGGAAGAAGAAACCCUAACGCCGGAGGAAGAGAGAGUUUUUGCUGAGUAAUGAAUUGGGCUCAAAUAGCCCACCUAAAUUUUGCCUAAAUAAAACCCAAAAGAAAAGUCCUUUUAUUUUAUUUUUUUUAAAAUACGAAAACAAUAUUUUUUUUAGAUAACACAAAAUAAUAAGCAAUUGGAAAUGGAGGUUGAAGUUUGAACCUCAGUCAUGAUAUCUAACCUAACAAUUUUUUUCUCCACCAUUAGUAUCUGGCUCACUGAACUACUAAUUUGGUUCGGAGGUUAGUUUUGAUAUCAAAUGGUUUCAUCCCCUCCCGAUCGUAGUUGUGGAGGAUCAGAUCGUUGUUCUCCUUACCAUAUUCAGUGUCAAUCACCACCGGACCAACUAAUAAUUAAUAAUACUUGCAAUACUUAAGUAACACAUUCAACGUGUUAGGAAUAUUCCCUUUACUACAAUCACUCUCUUGUUUGAUCAAAUCAAUGUGGAGCUCACAUUUUAGAAAUCGGUCAAACCUAAAGUGAUGAGAUUCAUAUUGAGUUCACUAUGUAGAAGAGUGAAUAUUUUGGUGAUUGUUGAAAAUAGAGUAAUUUUAACACUCUUGAUGAACACUAUAUUUUUAUUUUUGAGUGUCAUGAACGUUUAUUCUUUUCUAUUUUAUGUAAAAAAAAUUAGGACGAGGGGAUGUGUCCUAGUUCAAGGUAGAAUUUUUCUUAGGACUUUUAGAGCAUUUAUAAAUGUAAUUACAUCUAAUUCCCUCCAAAAAUACUAUCAGAAUUUAAAUCCAGGAUCUCUCGGAUCCAAAAUUUGUCUUUUUUACCACUACAUUCAUUCUAAUAUUCACUCUUUUUAUCGGGAAAAAUCAACGCAUAUUCCAUACUCCCUCCGGCCUUAUUUAUAGGCAAAUCUCUCUUGUUUCACACAUAUUAAGAAAAUUGUUAUUUUUACUAAACUACUCCUUAUAAUACAUUAAAUUUGCAUUAGAAUUAUACAAUCAUGUUAAAAAGUAGAACAAUUAAUUAGAGAUACUUUUGGAAGAAUACUAUUAAAUAUAGUUUUUUUGGUAACUUUUACUUAUAUUUGAGGUCAAAUUUUCUUAUUGACUUUUAGUUAUAAAUAAGGCCGAAGAGAGUAUUUAAAAAAUAGGUCUCACAUAAUGAGUCUUUACCCAGGACAUUACAUUUUGGUAUUUGAGCCAUGAAGAUGUUGUAGUACUUCGUGAUGAUGGCUGCAAGUUUACACGACUUGUAGAAUUUAACGUAAAGACUUAUACUAUUUUGCUCAUUUUAUUAUUACUUGUAACAUAUGAAAGAAAUACUUUCUUCUCAAGUUUAUUACUCGUAACAUAUGAAUACUUUCUUGAGGAGUGCUAGUAACACACUCUUUAACAAACACACUCUAACACACUAUUUUUUAUUGGUUAAAAUUUAUAUGGGUCCCAUAAAAGUUAUAUGGGUCCACAUUUUUUUAUGGGACCCAUGUGAAUUUCAAUCAAUAAAAGAGAGUGUGUUGGAAUGUGUUUAUUAAAGAGUGUGUUGCUAGCAUUCCUUCAUUCCUUUAUGGGACCCACAUUUUUCUUCCACUUCUUCAUUCCUCCCGUUAAAAAGUACGAAUACAAGUUUUAUGAAUUAAGUAUUCUUUUCAUCCUUAAAUUAAAUAUAAACAUUCAUUGCAUAUUUCACUCUUAUUAAAAAAAAAUAUAGUAACCAAUUGUUAAUUGGUUCAGUAGUGAUUGAUGCUAACUUGAUAGGGAGAUCAAAGUUCGAUCCCUCGCAACUACGAUCACACUCAAUCCGAUUCUAUGGUAUAUCUACGCUUAUCUAAUUCCUCCUUGAGCUUUUCAAUUAUCUUAUCCUUUUCAUUUACAAUUUCCAUAAUCCUAGCAUUCUCAUCUUUAAGUGCUUCAAAUUGACAAACAAUUCCUUCAAUUUGAGCUUCAAUAGCCUCAUCACUUAACUCAAAAACACUUUCCACCACUCUAAUCACACGCCAUAAACUCACCACAACCAAUAAACCACCACCUCUCCUCUCCAAAAACACUUCCAUAAUUAAAGCACCAAUAGCCACAACACCAUCCACAACAUAUCCCGGAUGCUUAAAAAAUGAAGAGCCCAAACCCACUAAUAAAAAAAUUAUCUUUAAUGAAAUAAUACUCAAAAUACAAAUUCCAAUCCAAUGGAAACAUAAUUCUUCUACUUUGUUUAUUUUUUGUUCACAUGAAAUUAAAGAUGAAGAUAAUUCAAGAAUUGUGAUGAUGAGGUCUAUAAUGAGUAAAAAAAUUGAAAUCAUACGAAUUAAUGUUGAUUCUAGGAAAUUGACCAAUUGUAUACGCCAUGGUGCUUUAUUCAACAAAUCUUGUUGGUUUGAAAAAAUAAACAACCAUUUUUGCCUUCUAUUCCAUGAUUUUAUUAGACUUGUGAUUGAUGAAUCUAAUAUUUGCAUGGAAAAAUAAUUUGUGGGGGUUUGUGUUUGAUUGGUUUGUGUGGUGGACACAUGAAUGGAUUUCAAGGUGUUCAUUGAUCAUAUGAGAAAUGUUGGAAUCAAAAUUUGGUGGUAAGGGUUGCAAGCUUUAUGAUUUUAAUUUUUUUUUUAAUAUAUAAGAGAAUGUUGGUUAGAAUUGUGACGUAUUAGAUGUGAGAUAUUUGUGUUAGUGAAGUGCAAGUAAGCUUUGAAGGUUUUGUAUACUUUAACUUUAGGGUCACGUUGGAAGGGUUGGUACAUUAAUUAAUUUAACAAAUACGCAAUGUCCUAAUUUUCCUUCACAUAUUUGAGUAGCUAGAAGACAACAGGCCAAAAUCCAGCAAAAGAUCAUAUGCAACAAAAUGUUAUUGUCAUGACAAUGGAAACGGUUUUGGAGUUUUUGGGCAAAGACAUGUGAUGGUAAAAAUGGAUUUUGUAGGGAGAAUUGGCGGUGGUGAAAUAUAAAUCUUUUGAAAGUUANNNNNNNNNNNNNNNNNNNNNNNNNNNNNNNNNNNNNNAAUCUGUAUACUAUUUUUAUCAAACCAUUCAAUAUUUUAUUCAUUCAAACAUGAAAGUAUAAAAGUUAGACAAUACACUAUGUUAGAGAUUAGAGUUUGAAUUCGAGUACACCUGUUUCAUUUUUUUGAAAUAGAAUCUAAGUACACCUAUUUAUUUACCUUAAAGAGGUAAAUUCUAUCCACUUUACUUGACAAAAAAACCUUAUAUUUUUGGUGAAAUCAUAUAUCAAAGGNNNNNNNNNNNNNNNNNNNNNNNNNNNNNNNNNNNNNNNACUCCCUCAAUCCUUAAUUAUAAGCAAAAAUCAACUUUUCAGAUUCAUUGAAAAACUAAUGUAUCUGACCUAUAUUAUAGACCAAAUACAUCCAUUAUUGAAUGAAUUUCAAAAGUAUAAUUUUGCUUAUAAAUCAGGAUAGAGAGAGUAGUAUAUAUUAAAUGUAUUUAUCUAUUAUAAUAUUUUAAUCAGUAUAAUAUUUCAAUCAAAUGAAUGAGUACAGUUAAUUUCUUAUGAAAAAUCAUUUGAAAGAAAUCGGGUUCUAUUUUUAGAAGGAAUAAUUUUUUGUCAGAUUUAUCUUGUUGUCGAAUUUCAUAUAUGACCAUCCCUAUUCUCCUGAAAAUCAGAGGUUACCAAAAAUCUAUUAUUAAAUAUUUUAUUAUUAUUUUUUUUGGUACAAUUAAAUAUUUUAUUUAAUAUUUAAUAAUAUAUUUUUCGGCCCCCAUCUCAUAAAUCUCUGCAUCUGUCCCUCAUCCUUCCACGUAUGCAAAUGUAGAGAAUGCACCCAAAGUUGGUCCCCGUACAGUUCACAACUAAUAGAAAGUUUAAUUCAUGAGAUGAGAUGACUGCAUUGCCGAUUUUGAAUUCUAUUAAACUGUUUGAAUUGGAUUCCACUUAUGUGAAUAUCGACUAUUCUUCGUUGAAUUCUGAUGUCAUUUCUACUAAAAUGACAUACUCAAUUGCGUUUGUUUAUUUGAAAAGGAAGACAACUUUAAAUUAUUUGUACUUUAUAUAAAUGUUAUCUUAAGAUAAUUGUGACCAACCAAAAUCUUAAUUUGAUAAAUAUUUCUGUAAGAAUUUUCCCAAAAUCCACCGCUAACCUAAAGAUAAUGUAUAAUAGUAUUAACAAAGGCUGCUGAAUAAAAUUUCCAAGGGAAAAAAACGACUGAUAUUAAAGUGUUAGGAAAAUCAACAUCAAUAAACAUAAAGAUACAUAAUCUAUGCAUUGACAUGAAUCACUUGAUCCCACGUUUCCUUAGAUCAAUAUACCUUGUGCACAAAAAUAUACUCCAUCCGAUUUUAUAUAUAAAUUUCAUAUAUAAGUAAAAAUUGAAUUUUCAAAUUUAUUAUGAAAAUUAUAUAUGUAUCUAGAUUAUAUUAUUAUAUAGAUAUAGAUAGAUCCAUCACUUUUUUAAUUGAUAAUUUUUUUAAAAUAAUUUAUCAAUAAUGAAUUAGUGGUAGGGUCUUAGUCCUUUUAAGCAUGUGGUCAGAGUUUGAUUUCUAGCUUAUGUGUACGAAGAAAAUUUGGUUGAAAGAUGAGACCUCAUCUUAUGUGUCCCGCAGUCAUCGCUAAUGGUGGUGAAAAUUUCACACCAAUAUCAUUAUAACAAAAACAAUUUACUCAUAUAUAAAACCGGAAAGAGUAAUUCAUAUAUUCAUAUAUAAAAGACCGGAAAGAGUAAUUUAUAAAGAACAUUAAAUUAUUACUGUAAAAAAAAAAACAUGAAAUUAUUAGUGGAAAUAUAUAUGCAAUGACUUGAUAGCCAAGUUUUGUUCUCCUAUCGGAUUCAGACACCUGUAUUCUGGUCUAGUUGCCAAUUGUCAUUUGAAUUCCAACUUAGUUUUUUUUUCCUUGACUUUUCUUUAUUUUUCACUAUUUAGUUAAAGUUUGACUCAGUCUUUUAAUUUGUGGUAUGAUGGUGAAUAAUUAUAAAUAGACCAAAGGGGCGAGGAUAUUCAUAACUUUAACUUUUUGUGACCUUUACAUAGAAACAAAGAAGAUUUUGUUUAGUGUUGUAUUGUGAGACUCAUAGCAAUGGCAAAAGUUGGAAGAAUGAAGUUAGGAUCACAAGGCAUGGAAGUGUCCUUACAAGGACUUGGUUGCAUGAGCAUGUCUGCUUUCUAUGGUCCUCCUAAGCCUGAACCUGACAUGAUUUCUCUCAUCCACCAUGCCAUAGAUUCUGGUGUCACUCUUCUUGAUACCUCUGAUGUCUAUGGUCCUCAUACCAAUGAACUCCUUAUUGGAAAGGUUAUCACUUUCUCUUAUGUUUUUUUGUUGGCUUUCGCCAUCAGUUUAAUCUGGUUUAGGGGUCAGUUCUGGCAUUAAGUAGUUCCAGCCCCUCCAGAUCGCAAUUGCGGGGAUUGAACCGUGGUCCUCCGUACCAAGUUCAGUGCCAAUCACCACUGAACCGAUUAACGAUUGGUUUUUUCUCUUAUGUUUUUAGUGUGUGUUUGAUUAUGCCAUAACUAAAAUUGAUUUUGAGUGAAAUAUGUUUGGAAUUGUGGAACAGGCUCUUAAAGGAGGGGUAAGAGAAAAGGUUGAGUUGGCUACAAAGUUUGCUGCUAGAGUUGUUGAUGGGAAAUUUGAGGUUUGUGGUGAUCCAUCUUAUGUGAGAGAAGCUUGUGAGGCCAGUUUGAAGAGACUUGAUAUUGAUUGUAUUGAUCUCUAUUAUAUACAUCGGAUUGACACUCGUGUUCCAAUUGAAAUCACGGUUUGAUUUCUUCUAACUUCUCUUUAAUUUGAUUGUAUACCAUCAGUGGCGGAGCUAGAACUAUAUUUAUGGGAAAACUCUGUUUUUAACAAUGUAAUUAUUUGAACCAAGUAUCUCAUUGACAACUAUAUCAAUCUAAGAUAUGAAAUUGAACUAUUUAUUGAAAUAUAUACAAAGACAAUUUGUGACAGCUUCAACUUUUCCCUUUUUCUAUGUAAGAUUGGGGAGCUUAAAAAACUUGUUGAAGAGGGAAAAAUAAAAUACAUUGGUUUGUCUGAGGCCUCACCUUCAACAAUCAGAAGAGCUCAUGCAGUUCAUCCAAUAACAGCUGUGCAAUUGGAGUGGUCACUUUGGGCAAGAGAUGUGGAGGAAGAAAUAAUUCCAACUUGCAGGUUUGAUUUAGUUUCUAGUAAUAUUAUUUGAUAAAAUUGCAAUGAUAUGAAUCACCGACACCGACACUGAAUACAUUAAUGAUAUACGUAGGCACAAGUAAUAGUUUGAGAAAAUGAAAGUGAUUAAAUGUAACUACAUGUAUUAUUGGUGUCGUGUCUGACAUCAAACACCUUUUUCAUCUGAAUUGUCGGUGCUACAUAAAUAAAUAUGAAGUCUAAUUUUAUAAGCCAUGAUUUUAUUUCUUAGGGAACUUGGUAUUGGAAUUGUUGCAUAUAGUCCUCUUGGGAGAGGAUUCUUUUCAUCUGGAACAAAGAUUACUGAUACCUUUACAAAGGAAGACUACCGUCAGGUUUGUGGAAAAGCAAGCAUUUACAUAAAUUCAUAUCAAUUACUUGUUCAUUUUGUUAAUCAACUGGUAAGUAUGAGACACCGACACAAAAAUUGACAUGCUGUUGACACAUGACACUGACACAGACAUCAAUAAUAAUGUAAGUAAAUAUAAGUGACUGAAUAUAACCAUGUGUGUUGAAUACCGACCACACCUUCAAUUUGAAGGGUCGGCGUUACAUACGCUUCGUUUAUAAAAAGGCUACUCACAUCGAGAGAUGAUAGCUAUGUUGGCACCCAAGCUGCUAAUAAUAUAAACUACUGUGACUACAAGUCUUGAACUUAUAUAGCAAUCCUAACUGAAUCAGUUAAGUUAGUUAUGAGUAGUAACUGAUAUAACGGAAAGAUGCAGCAAACGAUUCUAACUGAAACUUGAGUGUUUAACAUAUUUGUUUGUAACAAAUUUUAAGACACAUAGUAUUAGUAAACACAGUUUGUAACUCUGGAAAAUAAACAGAACCAUUUGAUUUGAUCAAUGUGUUUUGAUACACUUAGUAUGGUUUUCCAAAGAAAAAUAUGUAAAUUAAGAGCAUUAAGAGACAUCAUAGAGACUAGUAGACAUCAGAGAGACAUCUAGUAGCACUAAUCCUUUCAAACAAGUUUAAAACCUAGAAUUAUGUGUAUUUUUCAUGGUUGACACGAGUUUAAUAGAUAUGCUCUGUCAAUGUAAUUUACACUGACAUCCAAUAUGAAUCAGGCAUUUCACCAUGUCAUACAAUUAAAGUGGGGUGUAGUGGGGUGAUUUGACGGAAUACACGGUCGCUAUUAAAUGACAGUGUAAAAUUAGUUUACACUGUCUGUGCAUAUAUUAUUUUGUCAUACCUAAUAUAUAACUUGUAUUUGUGUAAAUAUGUUUGCAGCAUAUGCCAAGAUUUCAACCUGAAAACCUGCAGCAAAAUCAGAUUAUAUUUGAGAGGGUUAAUGAAUUGGCUACAAAGAAAGGAUGUACUCCAUCUCAACUUGCAUUGGCCUGGCUUCAUCACCAAGGAAACGACGUGUGUCCGAUACCUGGAACAACCAAAAUUGAGAACUUUAAUCAAAACAUUGGAGCUUUGUCGGUAAAAUUAACACCAGAAGAACUGGCAGAAAUUGAGUCCUUAGCAGAUAUUGUUAAAGGCGAUAGAUCUGGGAGUGAACCUACAUGGAAAGACUCUGAUACUCCACCACUUUCUUCUUGGAAAACUGCAUAAUGAAGUGGUUUGAUUGCUUAUUAAUCGUAUCAACAUAAUUUUAAAUUGUGGUUGCAAUUACGCUAUGAAAUUUUAUUCUAUGUUAAAAUACGGGCAAAUGUGGCUGCAUAUUCGGUUGCAGACUACUAUUUAGAAUCAUAAAUAUCAGUAUUCCAUAUGUAUUUGAUGUUACUACCUUAAAAAUUAAUAAAUUGGUCCGAGGAAAAGGAUUUUGGUUGUAUAAACAUCUAUAGUUUCUAGCAUAUGUGUGAUUUGAACUCUAAUGAAUAUGACUCUAUUAUAUUGAGUUUAAUAAAUUUUAUCCAUAAAUUGUAAUAGCUAAUAAAUUUUGCAUAGGUUUUAAUUUUUUAUAUGCGUAUCAUGUUUUCUAAUUUUAGACCAGAAAAUAUGUUGUAACCAAAAAAUGUCCAGAAAAUAUGUUUGUUUUUGUUGUUUAAAUUUGAGAUCUAAAAUGGAAAACAACAUAAAAACUAGUAAUUGAAAUUGUCUCAAGGCAACACAGCAUUCAUAAAUACAACCAUAUGACAUACAUAAACAAGAAAAUAUAAAAAUCAACACAUGGUCCAUGCAUGGGUCCAAAGAACCAAUGUGGUGUCACCUCAAAAGGUUCAAAGAAGUCAUGUUGAUAUACGUAAUAAUUGAAGGAUACAUUUUGAGUAAAUUAUACACGCUCUUUUUUUUGUCAAGUAGUUUAGUGGCUAGACUCACACAUUUAAAUGUAAAAAAAUGUAGAACCUGAGAUUCGAAUCCCGACCACCCCAAUACACACUCUUCUCUUCUAAAACAGUAACAUUAGCAUCCUAAUAGAUACACGCGUAGACGCGCGUGUACCAUGCCAAGAUCAAGUUCACCAAAAACAAUUAUAGACAGAAAAGUAAACUAGGUUGAAAAAAUGUGACAAUGGGGCCUGACCUUCCUUUCUAACAAUCAAGUGAUAAUGGUGAUGUUUUCUUUGCAGGCAUUGUUAGGUAGACGUUGAGGAUAAAUUUUUCUCUCGAGAAGCCCCGUGGGGGACGGGGACCUGUUGUAGUAGUUCCUCGGUUUUCAGAUAAUGGACGCUUUAACAGACAUUGAGUUGAAUUUGCCGUAUGGAAUUUAUGUAUGUGUCUCUGAAUCAAAUUAAAAUUAUUAGCUAAUAGAUACAAUUUUUUUGUAUUGUUUAUCAUAUUCUCUUUAAUUUGUAGAAAUUGAAAUUUAGCUAAGAUGUUGAAUCAAUUUUUUACAUCAGGAUAGUAGUCAUGCAAAUAUGACAUUGCGUGGAUCACUGAGAAAUUUUCAGCACAAAUCGUGAUUGAUACUAUAAUGUUCUGCUUAAAGUAUCAAUGUUGAGUUCUUCGGUCCAAGCUUAAUGAUCAUAAAAGAAUAGAUGCAUGUAGUUUGUAUGCUUCAUUAUGCCAAAAAUCAUUAGUUUUGGUGUCAUGAACUCUACAAAUAUGAAGUCACGAAUAUUUCAUACACUUCAAUAUAGUUAAAUAUGUAGGCUUAUGCAAUUUGUCAUUUUAUAUUAUUAACAUGCAUGUUGUAGGUGAAAUUGGUAGCUCUACUGACUCGAGCUAAGGGUGAAAGUAGCUAAGGGAGAAAACGACAGAUAUUAGAGAUAAUACAAUGUAUGCAUUGACUUUAAACUAUUAGUAUUGGAGCAUAUGAUACUUUUCUUUAAAGAAUCAAUUUUGAAUUUCAUAUAUACUAGGAGGAAUAAAUAAUUUCUAUAACACUANNNNNNNNNNNNNNNNNNNNNNNNNNNNNNNNNNNNNNNNNNNNNNNNNNNNNNNNNNNNNNNNNNNNNNNNNNNNNNNNNNNNNNNNNNNNNNNNNNNNNNNNNNNNNNNNNNNNNNNNNNNNNNNNNNNNNNNNNNNNNNNNNNNNNNNNNNNNNNUAUAUAUAUAUCUAAAAUAUUAUAUAUUUAUGAAUAUUAGAAUAUCUUAUUUAAGUUACUUCAAACAUUUUUAUGUUACUCAUUUUGCCACAAUAGCUCCAAUCUUAUGAAAAUAAAAAAUAAAUAAGUUCAUUUAGAUCGAUGCUCUUAGUGGAAAUAUAUAUAUGCAAUGACUUGAUGGCCAAGUUUUGUGCUCCUCGGAUUAAGACAUUCGUCUAGUUGCCAAAUUGGAACUUAAUUUUUCUCCUUGUUUUUCCUUUCCUUGACUUUUCUUUAUAAUUUAAUUUUCACCUUUUAAUCAAAGUUUACCCUUUAAUUUCUUUUGUCGUAUGAUGAAAAAUAAUUAUAAAUAGUGCAAGGGGAGGGGAUACAAUUGACAACUUUAACUUUGUGUGGCCUUUACAUAGAAAGAGAAAACAUUUUGUUUAGUGUUGUAUUGUGAGACUCAUAGCAAUGGCAAAAGUGGGAAGAAUGAAGUUGGGAUCACAAGGUAUGGAAGUGUCUUUACAAGGACUUGGUUGCAUGAGCAUGUCUGCUUUUUAUGGUCCUCCUAAGCCUGAACCUGACAUGAUUUCUCUCAUCCACCAUGCCAUUCAAUCUGGUGUCACUCUUCUUGAUACUUCUGAUUUCUAUGGCCCUCAUACAAAUGAACUCCUUCUUGGAAAGGUUCUGAUCACUUUUUCUUAUUAAUAUAUUAUAUUUAGUCGUUUAAUUAUACUUUACUACCUCUCAGCCGAAUUCUAGCUUUUCGAGGCUCUUCAAUAGAGGGCUAAAAAAAAGAACAAAUGAUUGUGAAUUUGUGAUGAAGUGUGCAUGUUUGAAAUUGUGGAACAGGCUCUCAAAGGAGGGGUAAGAGAAAAGGUUGAAUUGGCUACCAAGUUUGGAGCUAGAACUAUUGAUGGGAAGUUUGAGAUUUGUGGUGAUCCAGCUUAUGUGAGAGAAGCUUGUGAAGCCAGCUUGAAAAGACUUGAUAUUGAUUGUAUUGAUCUCUAUUAUCAACAUCGUAUUGAUACUCGUCUUCCAGUUGAAGUCACGGUUUGAUUCUUCUAACUUCUCUUUAAUUUGAUUUUGGUAGUAUAAAAUGUGUAUACCGUGAAGCAUUGUCUAAGCUAUGAAAUUGAAUUAUUUAUUCAAAUAUAUACAAAGACAAUUUGUGACAACUUCAACUUUUCCCUUUUUUUAUGGAAGAUUGGCGAGCUUAAGAAACUUGUUGAAGAGGGAAAAAUAAAAUACAUUGGUUUGUCUGAGGCCUCACCUUCAACAAUCAGAAGAGCACACGCAGUUCAUCCGAUAACAGCUGUGCAAUUAGAGUGGUCACUUUGGUCAAGAGAUGUGGAAGAAGAAAUAAUUCCAACUUGCAGGUUUGAUUUAGUUUACAACCAUUAUCUUCUGUUAUCUAGCAUUUGUCUUUCUAGUAAUUUGAUAAAAUUGUAAUGAUAUGAAUCACCGACACAAACACUGGAUACGAUAAUAACAUGUAGAUACCAGUAAUAGUUUCAGAAAAUGAAAGUGAUAAAUUGUAACUACAUGUAUUGGCGUCAUGUCUGACACCAAACACCUCUUUAAUCUGAAUUGUCGGUGCUAAUGAGCUAUGAUUUUAUUUCUUAGGGAACUUGGUAUUGGAAUUGUUGCAUAUAGUCCUCUUGGGCGAGGAUUCUUUUCAUCUGGAACAAAGAUUGUUGAGAACUUCACAAAGGAUGACUUCCGCCAGGUUUGAGGCACUUAAAUAGUAUUCGUAAACACAAUUGGCUACAUCAUUGAGACAUAAUUAGAAUCAUCCACCCAUCAUUGAUAUUGUUACCAAAAAAUAUUUUUGCAGGAUAUGCCUAGAUUUCAGCCUGAAAACCUGCAGCAAAAUCAGACUAUAUUUGAGAGGGUUAAUGAAUUGGCUACAAAGAAGGGAUGUACACCAUCACAACUUGCACUGGCCUGGCUUCAUCACCAAGGAAACGACGUGUGCCCGAUACCCGGAACCACCAAAAUUGAGAACUUUAAUCAAAACAUUGGGGCUUUGUCAGUAAAAUUAACACCAGAAGAAAUGGCAGAAAUUGAAUCCUUAGCAGAUAUUGUUAAAGGUGAUAGAUCUGCGAAUGCACCUACAUGGAAGGACUCUGAUACUCCACCACUUUCUUCUUGGAAAAAUGCUUAAUGAAAUGGUUUGAUUUCAUAUUGCGCAUAUCAACAUAGUUUUAAUUUGUGGUUGCAGUACGCUGCAAAAUUUUAUAUUGUGUUAAAAUACAAGCAAAUGUGGAUGCAUUUGUGGAUGCGGGCCACUAUUUAGAAUCAUGCAUAUUAGCAUGCCAUGGAUAUUUGAUGUUACUGCCUUAAAAAAUAAAUUGGUAUGAGG